RNAcentral lists this long non-coding RNA (1460 nucleotides) under Homo sapiens (human). RNAcentral's name for it is "HSALNT0159095". Lineage: Eukaryota; Metazoa; Chordata; Mammalia; Primates; Hominidae. The record is from RNAcentral.
UGUGAACAAAAUUUGGAGUAUAUUUGUCUCUGUCUCUCUGCCUGGCUUCUCCAGAAUUUGGAAACUAGUUGUGAGUAUUCUUAAUUUAUGGCCAUAUAGUUGUUUGCAUCAGUGCAAUAAGAAUCCAUUUUCUUUUGCAACAGCACACAAUUGGAGAAACUGGUUGCAACAAGACACAAUUGGAGAACCUGGUUGCUUUACUGAGGCUUUGACUGGAAAGACGAACCCUGCUUGUUCCUGUGAACCAAACAGCAAUCUCUGGCUGCAGCUCAGAAAAAAACAAAAGGGAUGGGUGACGUAAAAAUCUGGAUCAGUAUUCUCCUUCUGAGCAGUUAUCCUGCAAAUCCUUCCAGGUGAUGAAAAUAAAUAGGAUGCCCACCACCCAGAGGUUUCCUUUUUGGGAAAGUAAGACAAAGGGAGCUAACCAAAGCCAAGCCCCAUGCGUCCAAAUCUUAGCAAGCAUAACUAUAGCCACCAGUGAUCUAGGGGUGUCACAAGACAUCCUUUUCUCUCCCUGGUUGGAGGAGGACUCAAUUCCACCGCUUCAUCUCAGCAUUCAGCUUAUAAUAAGGAGUCCACGCAACCCCCCCUCAAGACGUAUUUUUGUCCCAAAUUCAAUUCCAAACUUCAGCUCAAAGCCCUAGGAAAGAAAACUGGAUCUGAGGAAUCCAGAGACAGAUGAUAAUGGCAGUUAAAAGACACAGCACAGGCUAUCAAACUCCAAAUGAUCAUGCAACCAGAGCCUCGGACGAUGGCCUUUUCUGCUGGGGAUACUUAGAUAAGCCUCUGAGGGAGAUCUGACUGCUGUUUUCCCCAAAACAGUGCCCCCUGUUAGCAGAAAGCAGUUAAUUUUGGUCAUCAUCCUUAUCCUUACCUUAUUCUAACCGCCGUUGGAUGUACUUCUUUAGAGGGGGGAAUAAGACAGCCAAAUGCCUAGGCAGAUAUAAAGGUGUCCCCAGAGAAUCUCCGACCCACCCCACAAGUGUUUACAUCAGAUGCUUCUGUACAGAUGAGGGAACAUGCCCAGGGCUUCAUCUGAGCCUGCUCACAUGUGCACUGGGAGAAUGGGGUGGAGCCACAGGCAGGGGGAGGAGCCUGCUCUUCAGUUCCUGUGUGGUGGCCUGGGAUUCAACCUGUGAGGUGGGAGGCCUGUUAAUAGGACUCCAUCUCACUUUGCUGAGUUUUUUCUUUUUUUUUCCCCCUUUUGCCCAAUAAAAUGCUGCUCUGCACACCCUUCAAUGUGUCCACAUGUCUAAAGUCUCCUGGUCAUGUGACAUGAACCCAGUUUUAGCUGAACUAAGGAGCAAAAUUCUGCAACAAUGAUGCCUUAAAGACAUUUCUGCCUGCACAAUCAUUUCUUUUCUUUUCUUUUCUUUCUUUUUUUUUUUUUUUUUGAGACAGAGUCUCACUCUGUCACCCAGGCUAGAGUGCAGUGGCAUGAUCUCGGCUCACUGCAACCU